RNAcentral lists this transfer RNA (72 nucleotides) under Myiopsitta monachus (monk parakeet). RNAcentral describes it as "tRNA-Trp". It matches the Rfam family "tRNA". From Rfam's summary of the family: Transfer RNA (tRNA) molecules are approximately 80 nucleotides in length. Their secondary structure includes four short double-helical elements and three loops (D, anti-codon, and T loops). Lineage: Eukaryota; Metazoa; Chordata; Aves; Psittaciformes; Psittacidae. The record is from RNAcentral.
AGAAACUUAGGAUAAUACAUAAACCAAAGGCCUUCAAAGCCUUAAAUAAGAGUUAAAGCCUCUUAGUUUCUG